GGUUCUGCCAUUAUGACUGGGCUACACACGUGCUACAAUGGACGGUACAAAGAGCUGCAAGACCGCGAGGUGGAGCUAAUCUCAUAAAACCGUUCUCAGUUCGGAUUGUAGGCUGCAACUCGCCUACAUGAAGCUGGAAUCGCUAGUAAUCGCGGAUCAGCAUGCCGCGGUGAAUACGUUCCCGGGCCUUGUACACACCGCCCGUCACACCACGAGAGUUUGUAACACCCGAAGUCGGUGGGGUAACCUUUUUGGAGCCAGCCGCCUAAGGUGGGACAGAUGAUUGGGGUGAAGUCGUAACAAGGUAGCCGUAUCGGAAGGUGCGGUUGGAUCACCUCCUAG
This 342-nucleotide ribosomal RNA is filed under the name Bacillus thuringiensis. Its description in RNAcentral is "bacterial SSU rRNA". It matches the Rfam family "Bacterial small subunit ribosomal RNA", at positions 1192 to 1533 of the family's 1533-position model. The record is from RNAcentral. Lineage: Bacteria; Bacillati; Bacillota; Bacilli; Caryophanales; Bacillaceae.